RNAcentral lists this ribosomal RNA (477 nucleotides) under uncultured bacterium. RNAcentral's name for it is "bacterial SSU rRNA". It matches the Rfam family "Bacterial small subunit ribosomal RNA", at positions 29 to 507 of the family's 1533-position model. The record is from RNAcentral.
AACGAACGCUGGCGGCGCGUUUUAAGCAUGCAAGUCGAAGGAUGCGAUUUUAGCAAUAGAGUCGUAGACUGGCGAACGGGUGAGUAACACGUGAAAAUCUAUCUUAAGAUGGGGGAUAGUCGGUAGAAAUACCGGGUAAUACCGCAUGUGCCGAGAGGUGAAAGCUCCAAUUGGAGCGUCUUUAGAUGAGUUUGCGUUCCAUUAGCUAGUUGGUGGGGUAAUGGCCUACCAAGGCGACGAUGGAUAGCCGGCCUGAGAGGGUGUACGGCCACAUUGGGACUGAGACACGGCCCAGACUCCUACGGGAGGCAGCAGCUAAGAAUAUUCCGCAAUGGGAGCAAUCCUGACGGAGCGACGCCGCGUGUAUGAUGAAGGCAAGAAAUGUUGUAAAGUACUUUUGCGCGGGAAGAAUAAUGAUAGGAGUGGAAAGUCUAUCAGAUGACGGUACCGCGCGAAUAAGCCACGGCUAACUACGUG